Lytechinus variegatus (green sea urchin) is the source of this 2831-nucleotide long non-coding RNA. RefSeq lists it as uncharacterized. The transcript has 3 exons. NCBI's taxonomy places the organism in Eukaryota, Metazoa, Echinodermata, Echinoidea, Temnopleuroida, Toxopneustidae. The record is from RefSeq and is a predicted model, not a curated record.
GCACAUAUAUUUCAUCUGUGGAUAAAUAUGAAUUGUCCUUGCACAUAGAGUUCAUCUCCAGAUGGAUGUUCCCCAUCCUUUUCAUGUAGAGUACUUCUCCAGAUAGAUAUGCAUUGUCCUUGCAUAUUUUUUUGGUGAAAUGGAGAUGUGGAACAACAUCUGGAAUUCCGCAGGCUUUGAAUUCUAUGUGGAUUUAGGUUUGAUUACAUUUGUUAUGUAGUUUGGAGCCUGACCGAUUGAACUAACAUCUUAAAAUUAAAUUCUUUGACUUUCUAGAAGCAGUUGAGCUCCCAGAAGAGGCAUGGUAGUCAACUGAACUUUGUUAAAUGGUAGACAAGUAUUUGCAUGUUAACUUUAUUUCAUUUGGUCUUUUUAUAAGUGAUUAUACUCUUGUAAAGGGACUGCCAAUGCAACAAAAAAAUUGUGAUGCCAUUUAUUAGCUAUAACGGUUAUUUUGCCAUGAUUUUAGGAUUUUUUUUUCCAAAAAUUAAACAGUUUUCCCUUCAGAUGUUUUUACAGGUCUGUUAAUUGCAUACUUUCUAAACUUAACUAAACUAUGUAUGCAAAUGUUUGUGCAUCAAACAUGCCCUCAUCAGUUAUUUUCCCACCAGUGUGAGACACAUAGCUACCAUCGGAAAUCUAGGACAUAUUGCUACACAAAGAGAGAAGACAGGGAAGGGCACUGGUAGAUAUAUCCAAUUAUCAUGUAAAUAAUUUUUUUUUUACUUUUAUCAAUAUUUAGAUAUGCCAGACCAGCAUGGAGUACCAGAAUUCAUUUUCCGGCCUGUCCUCAAAAGGAAGGAGCUUAUAAAAACUGGCAGCAGAGACUACUGACUCAAAGGCAUAAAAGGCAAUCUGCCUUGAGCAGAAGCAUAUUCCUCUAAACUACAAGGAGGAAGUGACAUAGCGUCCAAGAAAUUCAACAAGGGAGAUGCCCUAGAUGAGUUCCCAGCACUGACAAUUUAGUCAGUGCUGACAUCUUUAAUGAAAUACCCCCAAGAUACCAAGUUGAGACCGAGUGGUGUCACGCCAUGGAAGAGAUGGGGCUAGAAACCACUGAUGUCAGUAACUAAGGGGAACUAUUACAGGUGGGCAUAGCCAGCUUGGAACAACCAGAGCCAAGGCAGAAUCUGCCUGGGUCAUAUCCCAGCAAUCGAAAUUGGCUGGUCGAGCUGGAGCUGGAGCUCUCACACUCAAAGCCGGAUGCAAUUUUCUCUGAUAGGGACCAAUGCUGCUUUUCCACAGUUCCACUCCUUAUUCAGACACAAUGUGUCGAAACCUGAUGCCUGGGUCCUCACAGUCUAGGUGACAAGCAGGGUCCAGGAGAGUAAUUGAUGACCUCAAAAACAGAAUACCUUCUGCACCAUCUUCACAUGAAAUGCCAGAGAUUGCCCUGAUGGAGUAGAAGAAAAGAGAAAAAUAUUAAACCUGGUAACCCAUAGGGGCAUGAGGGUGAUAUGUAAAAUGAAUAUGGACCAGAGGUCUACGUCAACAGAACCGAAGGAUUUUUGUUCAGGGGGGGGGCAAAGUCAAGAUAAUCGGGACAAACAUGAUCUUACACUGGUGGAUUCAUAUGGGGGUGGGGAUGCACACCCCUUUUAGAUUGAAAGAUCAAUUUACGGAUAGCUUCAGUGAAGAAAAAGACCAUUUGGGUGACAAAGCAAUAUUUAAGUGGUUGUUUUCCAUUCUAAAAUUAUGUUUCAAAAUUGCUUAAAUAGAUCUUUAAGCAUUUUCAAUCUAUGAAAUUUGUUUUUAAUGUCCUGAAUUAGAAUUAUGAUUUUUGGCUAGAUUUAGUUAUAAAAUAGAAGUAUAACUGAAAGUGAUCAAUACCCAAUGCCAUUACUAUGGUUUCCCACAUGUUUAGAAAAUCAAUUUUGCACGUCUACCCCAAGAUGAACAUAUAUGGCAACUUUCAUGUGCACUAGCAAAAAAAAUACAAAAGGGAUCCUAAAUAAGGUUUCCCGGUUUUGGACAAUAUGUGGUUACCAUAUACGGUGAAACAAUUUUUUUUUCUUUGGACAAAUGCAAAAAUGUGUACUGCACGUCUUUAGCUCACAACAAAUGAGUAAGCCAAAUUUCAUUAGAAAUUAUUUAAAAACUAAUGAAGUAGUUUAAACUACAAGAUUUUUCCUUAAUUUUCUCUCUGUAUGCUGCUACCAUUGCAAUACAAUAUCCAACACACAUAAAGAAGUCUUGCACAUCUUUACAUGAAGACCAGUGGGCAUGUUAAUUUUAUCAGUAUUGGUUAAAAACUGAGAUCUUUACCUAAUUUUAACAAUAUAUUUUGAGCAUGGCAACAUACUUUCUGUCACAUGCGGAAAAUAUGUCUUGCAAAUAUAAAAUCAUUCUGAUGACAUAGCAAAAUCUAAUGUUUUUUUGUAUUUAGAUACUUUUUCAAACAUGAAUCGUUUAAUCGAUGAAAAAAAAUGAAUGUCCUGAACUAUAGUUGUCAGAAUGGUUUGUCACCAAAAUGGCCAUUAAUGAAAAAGACCAUUUUUGUGACAAAAAAAAAUUGGUUUUGUUUUCAAACAUUUUUUCUUCUUUAUGAAACAAAAUCCAUGAAGUGAAUUUUUGAAAGUCAUGAUUUAUUAUUAUGAUGUUUGGAUAGCCUUAGUUCUGAAAGACACUAGUGACAAAGCAAAAUAAAUAAGACCAUUUUGGGCCCCAUUUUACAAAUGGUUACAAUUGAUCUGAACAAUUAUAACUCUAUGGAAGUCCAUCAGUGUCAUAAUCAAUGUCCUUUGUCUGCAAAGAAAAGUGCUAAGAAUUUUAAAGAAAACAAUGAAUUCAUGAAUAUACAUCAUAGCUAGAAAAUAUUUUGAACAAUCAUG